Molecule: long non-coding RNA, 5244 nt
Filed under: Solanum tuberosum (potato)
Lineage: Eukaryota; Viridiplantae; Streptophyta; Magnoliopsida; Solanales; Solanaceae
Description: long non-coding RNA (STUB_LNC011913)
Source: RNAcentral
GCUGUCUGGUAGACUUACAAGAUCUUCACAACCUGUCAGAUUUAGCUCAGUGAGGCCGCUCAUAUUUCUAGUGAACGAAGGCAUUUCUCUUAUCCCAGUAGAAUUCAGAGUCAGUUGUAUCAAGCAAUGCAUAUCUCCGUUGAUUUCUGGAAAUGCAUUAUAGAGAUGACUCACAAAGGUUCUACGUGUAUCUUUGUGACAUAACUUGACCCUUAGACCAAAAAAGGAAAAGAAAAAACUAGAAGUCAUUAUAUUUUUGCUGAUUUUAUUGUAAAGACUAGACUUUACCUUUUUUCAUUAUUCCAAGCCUCUGUAGAAAACUUGUUAUCAUCUUUCUAAUUCAUGACAUAUCAUUGUACCCUUUUGCAGUAUUGCAGUGACAAAUUAAACAAAUGAGUAGCAAAUUGGGGACAAAUAUAAGUUUUCCCCAUUUUAACUUAAUCAUACCUUCCUGUAAAUGAUAUAAAUUUGUUGCCCUACCUGAGGAAUUGUCCAGAAAUUGAAGAAAAAUUUCAUAAUAAUUUAGAAGAAAAAGCAGAAAAGAAUGACUGACCUGAGAGAACCACACCAAAAGCUAACUAUUGAGGUAUAUAAGAGCCUGUUUGGAUUCAGAAUAGUUUUAAAGUGUUUAUGUAAAUUUAAAAAGAAAUAGGCUUCAAUCAGCUUAUUGAGCUACAGAAGUUUUCUCAACUCACAAUGGAGCAUCCAGUUUUUAUAUUUACAUUAUAUAUACAAAUUCUAUGGAACAAUAUCACCGUAUACUUGAGAGUCAAUUAGCAGCAAACACAUCAUAAACAGAAAUACUACUUCUACUUUUUAUGGCUAAACAGAUCUUAUAUAAGCCCAAUAUCAGCUUCACAAAUGACAUACUAAAAUCUCAUACCCCUUCCAAUAGGACUCAAUUAUUUUUAAUAGCAUUAAUUUUCAAAUUAAAAAUGUCUCUCCCAAUCCAAGUUACCUUUUACAUAUAAAGGGAUCUUAGGAAGAUGGUGUGUACGUAACUUUACCCUUACCUAGUUAAGGUAGAGAAGUUGUUUCCCACUCAAACACCAACAUUAUAAAUAAAAAUUUCAUCCAUCUAUCAUCGAUACAAAUUCCUGGUAUAUAAUUAAUUUUCAUUUGAGAAGGGUACAUACAAAUUGUACCAACAAUGUAGAACAUACACUUUCCAUACCAUUUUAUGAUACAUGUUUGGUUGAAUACAAAAUUUAAGAAAGACAGAAAAAUAUUUGAAAAUUGUGAUGUAAAACAAGUCAUAAACAGACCUUUGCAUCAUUUGGGUUCUUCCCUUCUUUAUUGUCAGAAGCAUACCACAAUGUUUCAAACGGUAUAUAGGCACAACAAAUGAAAGGAUACUCGAACCUCGAAUAUUCAGGGAUGUAGUUCUACUCCAAGGAAUAUUUUCUUUCAGGGUCAGACUUGCAGACCAAUGUAGCUUCUAAUCUUGCGUCCAGUCUAGUAGGACCGUAACUUAUCAAAAAACCCAUGAAUUUAUCAGUAUACCAAAAUGGGUUCAGCUUAAGACAACAAAUUACGAGAUUUUUGCUGCUCUUCAAAGUUAGAUGAUAAUCAGCAAAUAGCUCCCUUAAAUUUGGGGGUAGCUCUCCUGGCAGUUCAUUAAGAUUCUGACAGAAUUAUACGUUCAGAUGCUGAAGGUGUAAGAGUCCUUUGAAGCUUUUUGGUAAACAAGAAAUAUUGCUUCCACUUACAUUCAAAUUUUCCAAAGAGUGCAAAGAUCCUAAAUCCUCAGGAAGUCCACUCAAUAUGUUGUGAUUAUUAAGAUCAUGUGAUGUCAAGGAGGAUAAACCUGAUACUUGAUUCAAGACAAAACUUGAGGAAUGUUGAAAUUGUUGUUCAUGUGAGAAUCGUAACUUCCACAGUUUGCCAAGCUUAGUGAUGGAGGGAGGUGGUUGGGAGAUUGCAGUUUCGCUCGCAUCAAGUAUAUGUAAAUCUUGCAAAUCACCAAUGUUUUCUGGAAGCUUCUCUAGCUUGUUGCACCCGUCGAGGUAAAGACAUCGAAGUUUCAUCAAAUUGCAGAUAUUCGAGGUCUCCUAGAUGCCCAAUGGAUGAAGGCACUUCUCUUAUCCCAGUAGAAUUCAGAGUCAGCUGUGUCAAGUAAUGCAUAUCUCCAUUGAUUUCUGGAAAUGUAUCUAAUUUUGGGGAAUUAGAUAUCUUGAGCUUUUGAAGGGAUUUCAUCUGAAUCGAGCUUGGAAGCUUCUUUAAGUUCUCACAUCCAUCUAUCUCUAACAAACGGAGCUUCUUUUGAACUCCAAGAGAUAUGGGGAGCUUUACCAAUCCAGAACAUCGGUAUAUACCAAGACAUCCCAAUUGCUGUGAUUCAAAGAGGUUGUUUGGCAGUGUUGCAAAUUUAUUGAAACCUGAAAUACUGAGAUCUCUAAGAUUUUGAAUGGCGUCCAGAAUACUCUCAAGAACUUCACACUCAGUCAAUUGCAAAUUUCUAAGGCUGCUGAAAGAUGGAGGUAAGCUUCUUAUCCACGGGUAUUUUACAUAGAGUAUUGAUAAGCGCGGCAUAUCUCCACAGAUUUCUGGAAAUUCUUCUAAGCUUGUGCAUUCAAGGAGAUUGAGAGUCUCAAGAGAUCCCACGCAGACAAAUUUUGGAAUCUUCUUAAGUUUGCGAUAACCUUCCAAACUCAAAUAAGUAAGCAGUCUGCAAUGUCCAAAUGAGGAAUGGACCUCUUCCAAAUUCACACACCGUGUAAAUUUAGUGUCUCUAAGUUUGGCAUAUCACCAAAAUUAGGGGUUUUUCUUAACUCACAGCUGUCCAUGAGAUCCAAAUGCUUCAAGUUGCUCAAUUUCUGUUUCCAAAAAAAAAAAAGAACAGUGAGCUUAACUAGUACUCCUAAUAGAAAUAUUUUGUAGGAAAAAAAAAUAAAGAGAAGAUAAGGUUGUUAUGAUCAUUAAAGGCGGUAGCCAAUCUGGAAAAGAACUUUUGAGAUACAUAAUUGUCUUAAAAUCCAAAUAUAUAUUUCUUUUCUUUUAAUUUCAUAAUGAAAAUAAAACCUCUUUAAACCUAGAAAUAAUUCCUUCUCAUCUUUGUCCAGACAAUCAAAACUAAGCCUAAGCUUUCCUAAAAUAUCCUUGUGAGGGAUUCUCUUCAGCCGAUCAAUUAUGUGUCUCCAGUGCUUUUUGUCUCGUCCGUAAAAUGAAGAACCCAAAACUUUAAGAGCUAAAGGGAGUCCACCAGCAUGGUGCACCACUUGUCUUGAAAGUUCCAUAAAAUCUUCUUUUGGUGAUUUUUCUCUAAAAGCAUGACUACUGAACAAUUCAAGUGCUUCAUCCUCCGAUAAUAGUUGGACUUCAUACACGUUAUCCCCAACGUGACUGAUUAACAGGUGCUUGUCUCUUGCCGUUAAAAUAAUUCUGCUACCCCUACCAAACCACUCUGUCCCUCCAACUAAAAAUUCCCACUGUUCUUGAUGGUUUACAUCAUCAAGGAUGAACAGAACUUUCUUCCAGCGAAGCAUAUUCUUUUAAAUAUUCAUCCCUUCAUGCUCACUAGUUAGAGUCAAUUUUUCACCCAAGAGCUUGCAAAUGACAACUUGUUGUAGCCAUGUUAGUCCAUUUUUCUGAUGAAGUUUUCCAACAUCACCAAGAAAACAAUCAGCUUCACAUCGAUGGCGGUAUCUUUGAUGUAGAAUAUUUGCAAUUUCUGUCUUGCCGAUGCCGCCCAUACCCCAAAUGCCGAUGGAGCAAACAUCAUUUGAUUCCAUAUCUAAUAAUGAGGUUACUUUCUCAACCUGAGAUUUUUUACCCACUAAACUUUCCAGGAAAGGUGAAAUAAUUUGAAGUGACUUGGGAAAUAUGACAUCAACUAACUUCUUGAUGCACUCAGCCUCAUCCCUACAUUACAGUGAAAAUACUCUCAGAGUAAAUAAAUAGAAAAGGAAAGACUUGUCAUAGAUUAAUAUCUAAAGCAAACACAUAAUAAUGUCACAAAGGUUGUUCCCCCGCUCUCCCCCCCCCCCCUGGUGUCAUAAGGUAGCUUAAAUCAACUAUUAUGAAUUAUAACAUUUUAAAAUCUAAUUACAUCAUCAAACAACCAGAUAGCUAAAAGUUUGGUCCUUUUUCCUCUUGAUAAAGAGAAACCCGAAGAAAAGAAGAAGAUCACUUACUUGAAAUUUUGUAAAUGAUACCCCGAUAUUUUCCCAGCCUCCGCAAAUGCACCCGUCCAUCUCUGAACCUUCUCCAUAUCAUCUUUGCAUUUUUCCUCAUGUUGUAAAAAUGAAUCAGCAAAAGGGGGAUGUUGAUGGCACACAUCUGAUUGACUCACAUCAUAGAAGACUGGAAUCACAAUCUGCUCCAAUUCCUUUUUACACUUUAUGAUGUGUGCAAGCUCCUCUAAACACCAUCUUGACGAUGCAUAGCUUUUUGAAAAUAUCACUAUAGCAAAUUUAGACUCUUGUAUGGCUUUCAAAAGUUCAUCAGAAAUUGAUUUUCCCGUUUCUAGUCGCUCAUCAUCUUUAAAAGUGCGGAUCCCUCUUUGUUCCAAAGCAUUAUAGAGAUGACUCACAAAGUUUCUACAUGUAUCUUCACCUCUAAAACUCAAAAAGACAUCGUACUUGCAAAUUUUGGAAGAAGAAGCAUGAGACAUUGUUGAAGGAUAUAAGACUAACAGGUAACUUCUCAGCCCAACUAGCAACAUUAUUUCUCAGCUAUGUGAAUGCAUAAUUUGGUCAAAAAGAGUGAAACAGUUGAGUUGACCAACCUGGUCAAAAAGAAAGAAAAGACAGACAAAUUUCCAGUUUAAUAAUAAAGAACAAGACUUCACCAUUUUCACUAUUCCUAGUCUUUAUGAGGAACUUGUUAUCAUCUUCCUAUUUCAACUUAUAAAAUGUUAACUUUUUCAUUACUGUGAGAAAUUAAAGAGUAUAAAAACAGACAAGAAGACUUACACCAAAAAAGGCAAAGAAAAAACUAAAGUCAUUACAUUUUUACUGAUAUUAUUGUAAAGACUUUACCUUUUUCAUUAUUCCAAACCUCUGUAGGAAACUUGUUAUCAUCUUCCUAAUUCAUGACAUAUAAUUGUACUCUUUUUCAGUAUUGCACUGACAAAUUAAACUAAUGAGCACCAAAUUGGGGCACAAAUUUAAAUCUUAACUUAAUCAUACCUUUCGGAAAAUUGAUAUAAAUUCGUCGCCCUAACUGAGAAAUUGCCCAGAAAUUGAAGAAAAAAAUCGUAAUAAUUUAGAAAAAAACACACAAAAAGCAGAAAAGAAAACUGAC